Molecule: long non-coding RNA, 582 nt
Filed under: Sus scrofa (pig)
Lineage: Eukaryota; Metazoa; Chordata; Mammalia; Artiodactyla; Suidae
Description: lncRNA (ENSSSCG00035059635.1)
Source: RNAcentral
GGAGGAAGUUCCGGCAGGACGACUUUGACCAAUGCUUUUCUCGUUCCUCCUUAGUUCUGCCCUCUCGGCUUUCUGGUGACCUUACUGCCGUUACUGCUGUGGCCGCUUAUGUCCGACCCUCCUUGCCUAGCCUGCGUUUUACCACAACUCCCUACGGGGUCCAACUCCAUCCUGGCCGCCCUUUCCCUAAAGAACUUUACUCUACGGGUCCCCAUCAGGGCCAAGUGACAUUCUUCGCGGAGGGAAACGCUCCUGGAACUUAACUGCUCCCGAAGCCUAUCGCAGCCAGGCCGGCGCCUGCGCAGGGCGUUACCAUAGAGAAGCAGCCGCCUCUCUGGUCUCGCACCAAGCGCUUAACCUCAUUGGGGUGGAGGAGAAGGCGGCGGCCGUCGGUUCCGCAGCAGCAAUAGGAGCGGCUAAUACGGCCGUUAAGCAAAGUCAGAAAUCUGUUGAAGAGGCUGUUUUUCGUGGAGGUGUGAAAUACUGUGUCUCCAAGUUACAAUCUAAGUGAAUGGACUGCUGAAUUAUGAAGUGUUUCAGACCCAGGAGGAGAACAUCACUCUGCCACUCACUCCUUUAUCU